Molecule: ribosomal RNA, 497 nt
Filed under: uncultured bacterium
Lineage: Bacteria
Description: partial 16S ribosomal RNA
Rfam family: Bacterial small subunit ribosomal RNA
Source: RNAcentral
GAUGAACGCUGGCGGCGUGCCUAAUACAUGCAAGUAGAACGCUGAAGGAAGGAGCUUGCUCUUUCCGGAUGAGUUGCGAACGGGUGAGUAACGCGUAGGUAACCUGCCUGGUAGCGGGGGAUAACUAUUGGAAACGAUAGCUAAUACCGCAUAACAGUAGAUGUUGCAUGAUAUCUACUUAAAAGGUGCAAUUGCACCACUACCAGAUGGACCUGCGUUGUAUUAGCUAGUUGGUGAGGUAACGGCUCACCAAGGCGACGAUACAUAGCCGACCUGAGAGGGUGAUCGGCCACACUGGGACGGAGACACGGCCCAGACUCCUACGGGAGGCAGCAGUAGGGAAUCUUCGGCAAUGGACGGAAGUCUGACCGAGCAACGCCGCGUGAGUGAAGAAGGGUUUCGGAUCGUAAAGCUCUGUUGUAAGAGAAGAACGAGUGUGAGAGUGGAAAGUUCACACUGUGACGGUAUCUUACCAGAAAGGGACGGCUAACUACGUG